GGCUCAACCGUGGAGGGUCAUUGGAAACUGGGGAACUUGAGUGCAGAAGAGGAAAGUGGAAUUCCAAGUGUAGCGGUGAAAUGCAUAGAGAUUUGGAGGAACACCAGUGGCGAAGGCGACUUUCUGGUCUGUAACUGACACUGAGGCGCGAAAGCGUGGGGAGCGAACAGGAUUAGAUACCCUGGUAGUCCACGCCGUAAACGAUGAGUGCUAAGUGUUAGAGGGUUUCCGCCCUUUAGUGCUGCAGCAAACGCAUUAAGCACUCCGCCUGGGGAGUACGACCGCAAGGUUGAAACUCAAAGGAAUUGACGGGGGCCCGCACAAGCGGUGGAGCAUGUGGUUUAAUUCGAAGCAACGCGAAGAACCUUACCAGGUCUUGACAUCCUCUGACAAUCCUAGAGAUAGGACGUUCCCCUUCGGGGGACAGAGUGACAGGUGGUGCAUGGUUGUCGUCAGCUCGUGUCGUGAGAUGUUGGGUUAAGUCCCGCAACGAGCGCAACCCUUGAUCUUAGUUGCCAGCAUUCAGUUGGGCACUCUAAGGUGACUGCCGGUGACAAACCGGAGGAAGGUGGGGAUGACGUCAAAUCAUCAUGCCCCUUAUGACCUGGGCUACACACGUGCUACAAUGGAUGGUACAAAGGGCUGCAAGACCGCGAGGUUUAGCCAAUCCCAUAAAACCAUUCUCAGUUCGGAUUGCAGGCUGCAACUCGCCUGCAUGAAGCCGGAAUCGCUAGUAAUCGCGGAUCAGCAUGCCGCGGUGAAUACGUUCC
This 770-nucleotide ribosomal RNA is filed under the name Bacillus sp. STS72. RNAcentral describes it as "bacterial SSU rRNA". It matches the Rfam family "Bacterial small subunit ribosomal RNA", at positions 606 to 1374 of the family's 1533-position model. Lineage: Bacteria; Bacillati; Bacillota; Bacilli; Caryophanales; Bacillaceae. The record is from RNAcentral.